GCCUACGGGAGGCAGCAGUAGGGAAUAUUGCUCAAUGGGGGAAACCCUGAAGCAGCAACGCCGCGUGGAGGAUGAAGGUUUUCGGAUUGUAAACUCCUUUUGUUAGAGAAGAUAAUGACGGUAUCUAACGAAUAAGCACCGGCUAACUCCGUGCCAGCAGCCGCGGUAAUACGGAGGGUGCAAGCGUUACUCGGAAUCACUGGGCGUAAAGAGCGCGUAGGCGGGGUAGCAAGUCAGAUGUGAAAUCCUGUGGCUUAACCAUAGAACUGCAUUUGAAACUGUUAUUUUAGAGUAUGGGAGAGGAG
Molecule: ribosomal RNA, 305 nt
Filed under: uncultured bacterium
Lineage: Bacteria
Description: bacterial SSU rRNA
Rfam family: Bacterial small subunit ribosomal RNA
Source: RNAcentral